This is a long non-coding RNA of Homo sapiens (human), 1035 nucleotides long. Lineage: Eukaryota; Metazoa; Chordata; Mammalia; Primates; Hominidae. The record is from Ensembl.
AGGGGGAGGGCCGCCGGCGGCAGUGCCGGUCUCCUCCUACAGGGACGCGCAGCCCGGGACCGCCACGCGCAGCGCGGGAGGGGGAGGGCGGGACCGGGGAACAGGAGGGGAGGGGGACCCGGGUGCUUCCAGCGGUCCGGGCCCGCGGACGGAGUGCGGGCCGAUCCCGCUCACUGUCCCCUUCCGCAGUCCGCGUGCAGCUCCAGGGAGCUGUCCGCCCCGGUGGUUCUGAACCAGGCGCCGCCGAAACGCUCCAGGAGCACCCAGGGAGCAAGAGAAGCCCUGCGACAGCAGCAAGGGACACUGUGGGGCUGCAGGAGUGGGAAGUUGACACUGUGGGACCAUGGUCCUUCCUGUUGAAUCUAAGCAGGCCUGUGACUACAGUGGAAGGGAAGCUACCUGACUUCCAAGGCUGACUCAUAACAAGUGCUGCUGCCUUGGCUUCUGGGGAAGCCAGCUGCUGCAUGGUUAGAUCACUCUGCAGCAAGACCCCCACAGAGUGCAACUGAGGCCUCCACAACAGCUGGCACCAGUGUGACAGUCACGGGAAUAAACUACCCUGGAAGUGGAUCCCGUCACUCCAAACAAGCCUUCAGAUGGCUGCCAGCUGAGCCAACAUCCAACUGAGCCUCAUGAAAAAUCCCAGACAUGGCCAUCAUGGCGUUAAUCUUAUCUCCAAGGAGAAAAAUUGGGAAGAGAGGCCUAGAUUCCUCAACAGAAGCGGGAAGGAAAGGUUUGCAGAAUGAAGAGUGUGAAGUGAGGUUUGUGGUUUGAAUCAUCCGAAUGUCAAGGAGAAAAGAAGAAAAAUGAAUCAUCAUCAUUUGACCACGGUAUUUACAGCUAGCGGAAGGGACAAGAGGAGAAAAAAGCAAGGGAGGAGAUAAAGGAAGAACGUCUCAGAAUAAAAUUGGGGUGGGUGGGGGGAGGAGGAGGAAGACAGUCUAAGAAAUUGGUUUGGUUGCACCAGUACUGGCCACAACACAAAAAUUUGUCCAUUCCUGGUUGAAAUUAAAAAUAAAUGUGCAUGCACAUGUA